UAUGCUUUCAUCCCGCCCAUGCUCUGGGCUACAUUGCACUUGCAGUUGGUAACGUACAGCAGGUGUGCUUGCGCUCCUGUUAGUUGCCAGCUGUUCAUACUUUGUGUUGAGUUCCUACAGUAUGAGUGUUGGUCUUAUGUUAUUUGCACAAGAGUUGGUUUUGAAAUCUCGUAACUCUGUUGAAAUUAUACCCUUUUGGUUAACACGCGUCGAGAAAGUCGCAUCAAUCAAAUGGUUCCUGCAAGAUGAUCCCUGACGUUAGUCAACGCUCCCCACUGGAGAAGCUGUGGCACGAAGCCGUAGUCCUGCCCUUGCGCCACCCAUGUGAAAAUAUCUUAAGACAGGAGCGGCGCUAGUUCGGAGGUGGCGGAACAGUUAACGUGGAAUAUAUAUGCUCGACUAGAGCUCCCGUGUCGACUUCUGCAGAGGAGGUCAGCAUCGACAUCGAGUAGCGUUCUGAACUUGGGUCGUUGCUGCUACAAUCUUGGAGGAUUUUGAUACGGGCCAUUGCAAUCUGCUGUCGACCUGAAAUAUUUAUGCUAUCCAAGCUUAUUUUGGGCGUCGACUUCAGCUUAAGCUCUGCGGGCGUGCCAGCUUUUGUUGGCAGUGGGUCGGAAGGCGGAGGAAAGGAUUGGACAGCGUCGCAACUUUGGCUGCAUGGAGUGAUGCCAGUCUAUGGUGGAGGUCGACGUCUCAAUGUCAACUUCUGUCGCCCAGGUUACCGUCUGGAGCUUCAACAAAGUUACGCAGAAUCAACACAAGUUGAUUGACUUGACGAUACUAAUGAUGAAGCACCAAGGAUGAACCAACUACAUGGAGCUUUGUGCUGCUGAUAAUCUGCUUGGGAACAACAGCUGCACAUCAUCGAUUUGUUGGUGGAAGAUGGACGUCAGAAUUGUCUGAGGAAAGCGUGGCAUGACCAUCCCGUCUCAUCCCUCUUCUCGUCCGUUGCCUCAUACCGUCUGCUGCCUCAUUCCGUCUGCUGCCUCAUCCCAUCCGUUGCCUCAUACCAUCCGCUGCCUCAUCCCGUCUGCUGCCUCACCGACGCAAUGCCAAGCAAUACAGCUGCUCCCUCAUAAAGAACUCCCAGAAUGUUUUCCGAGAAUCUGGCAUGAAGAUUGCUUCUGAGAAGUGGCCAGGUCUUCACAUACCUACUUUCAUUUCUCCUCUACUGGCCUUCACGAGAAUCUUACCAGUUUUCCUUGGUCACACCAAGUGGCAACGUUCAUCGAUGAACUGAACUUGCUGUCCUCUGCUGUGCUGUCUCCACUGCCAGAUUGUGCGCCGGGCGCGUCGCGUCAAUGCGACGUCAGAGCGUCGAAGUGUUGCAUCAUCUAAUGCUUUAGCAAAUGGCGAUCCUCGUGCGAGUGUCCGUUGUGUUGGCGCGUAGGCAGCAGACGUGCUGGCUCAACAUAUUCCUGCUGCGGCAACACAAGUGGACAAAAUUUCCUCUCCAAGGAUCAGCAAGCUAUGAAGUGCUGCAUGAACUUUGGCCGUUGCUGCUGCAGUCUUGGAGCCAUCUUCUUUUCAGGGCCAUCGCCAUCUUACGUCUACCUAAGAUUUUUAUAUGUGAUCCAAGCUCAUUUUGGGCCUCGACUUCAGCCCAAGCUCUUCGGGCGUGCCAGCUUUUGUUGGCAGUGGGUCGGAAGGCAGAGGGAAGGAUUGGACAGCGUCGCAACUUUGGCUGCAUGGAGUGAUGCCAGUCUAUGACGGAGACCGACGUCUGAAUGGCUACUGUGGUGGUCCUGAUAAGGUGGAGGGUACGACGAAGUUAUGUAACCAGCCAACGCUGCUUGAGGAUGCAAGAUGUUCAAGCAGCUACGAUGGACCAGCUACAAAUUGCUUAUUGCUGGUGGAAGGCGGCCGUCACAACGCCCUGCGGGAAGCUCUGCAUCGCAGUUGUGUACGCUGCCUCAUUCUCGCAGGUCCUCACAAUGACGCUCCUGAUCUCCCUUCGUAGAUGUGGCCUGGCUAGCAAUCCUGAAAAGUGGCCAGAUAUUCAGUUAUCAACUUGGAUUUGACUUACAAGAGAAGAGCCUCAGCGAAAUUUUCGCGCAACUUUUAUGCUCUUAUCAACUGUAAACGUUCAUUGAUGAACUGUAAGCUGGUCCUCUGUUGUGCGGCCUCCACUGCAAGUUCGGGGUUUCGGAUUCUUCUUUCCUUUCUGGUGCGUAGGGCGUAAGGAUCGAGAUUCGUUAAACAUCUAAUGACAAUUUUUCGAUGGAAAUGGUUAUUAACGCGUUGCUGUGUGCAGCGGUCGAGUCGUGUUACGUCAACAUGAGAUCAUCGGAGUAUUGCAUCAUCAAAGGUUUUGGUUUAUUUGCGUACAUUGGAAGGUCUGACGUUUUUUUUAUUUUUGCCAUUUCAUUUUCUGUGCCCUCGUGAAUUUCAAUUCCCUGCUGUUUUCUUGUUGAAGAAAAGUUUAAUGACAAUUAAAAAUGGUUGGCCCUGCCUGACGUACAUUCCUCAUUGUGUAAUUUUGUCUGCUUUUGCAGCGUUGAUUGUGUGUAGAGGUUAAGUUUGUGUUAUCUCUUAACAACUGCUCUUAAAAAUAUGACAGUUGGAACAGCCCACUGCCACGCAUUAAUCCCUGCUGUUCUUUCAACGUCCAUCUCGAUUUGCUCUUGAAAUAUGUAAUGAAACGAUCGUGAAUUUGUUGUAAAAUUUUGCCGAGUAAAAAUGUGUAAGGAAUGAACGCAGUUUCAAGCUAUGGAGUCAGGCAGCGAGCUCAGCUGCCAUGAAAACCUUCAAACUUCUUAGAGUUGUAUUACGUCUUCAAUGUAGGCUCAUAUUUUAGUAGGGUUCAAGUUUACCUUAUAGACAGGAUUUAAUUUCGUGCGAGACCUGUGAAGUUUUGAUUUCAGUAUUAUUGGUGUGAAAUUAUUGUGCGUCUUCGCAGAUAACCGUACUGCUAACUGGAACUCUUGAAAAUCGGAUGAAAUCUCGAAGGUAAGUUAAUUUCUCUGAAAAAAAUUUCUUUGUUAUAUUUUGUAUUAAUCACGUGCAAUGAAACGUUUAUUUAUCUUACAAACGAAUGUUAGUUACUAAUUUGCGUGUUAGCCUGUUUAGAUAUAUUUUAAAGCAUUAUGUAAAUUUGCAUUCUUUCGAUGUUAACUUUGCCUUACUGAAAUAAAAUGCACUCAACUCGA
Hyalella azteca is the source of this 3149-nucleotide long non-coding RNA. RefSeq lists it as uncharacterized. NCBI's taxonomy places the organism in Eukaryota, Metazoa, Arthropoda, Malacostraca, Amphipoda, Hyalellidae. The record is from RefSeq and is a predicted model, not a curated record. The transcript has 25 exons.